Molecule: ribosomal RNA, 700 nt
Filed under: Leifsonia sp. A5ATF
Lineage: Bacteria; Bacillati; Actinomycetota; Actinomycetes; Micrococcales; Microbacteriaceae
Description: bacterial SSU rRNA
Rfam family: Bacterial small subunit ribosomal RNA
Source: RNAcentral
AACACGUGAGUAACCUGCCCUUGACUCUGGGAUAACCUCCGGAAACGGAAGCUAAUACCGGAUAUGACGUACGGAGGCAUCUCCUGUACGUGGAAAGAAUUUCGGUCAAGGAUGGACUCGCGGCCUAUCAGGUAGUUGGUGAGGUAACGGCCCACCAAGCCUACGACGGGUAGCCGGCCUGAGAGGGUGACCGGCCACACUGGGACUGAGACACGGCCCAGACUCCUACGGGAGGCAGCAGUGGGGAAUAUUGCACAAUGGGCGCAAGCCUGAUGCAGCAACGCCGCGUGAGGGACGACGGCCUUCGGGUUGUAAACCUCUUUUAGUAGGGAAGAAGCGAAAGUGACGGUACCUGCAGAAAAAGCACCGGCUAACUACGUGCCAGCAGCCGCGGUAAUACGUAGGGUGCAAGCGUUGUCCGGAAUUAUUGGGCGUAAAGAGCUCGUAGGCGGUUUGUCGCGUCUGCUGUGAAAUCCCGAGGCUCAACCUCGGGCCUGCAGUGGGUACGGGCAGACUAGAGUGCGGUAGGGGAGAAUGGAAUUCCUGGUGUAGCGGUGGAAUGCGCAGAUAUCAGGAGGAACACCGAUGGCGAAGGCAGUUCUCUGGGCCGUAACUGACGCUGAGGAGCGAAAGCGUGGGGAGCGAACAGGAUUAGAUACCCUGGUAGUCCACGCCGUAAACGUUGGGAACUAGAUGUGGG